Molecule: unclassified non-coding RNA, 263 nt
Filed under: plant metagenome
Description: partial contains small subunit ribosomal RNA, internal transcribed spacer 1, and 5.8S ribosomal RNA
Rfam family: 5.8S ribosomal RNA (bases 215-263)
Source: RNAcentral
UUUCCGUAGGUGAACCUGCGGAAGGAUCAUUAAAGAGUAAGGGUCUCAGGCCCGAACCUCCAACCCUCUGUUGUUAUAACUACUUCGUAGCUUUGGCGGGACCGCGAAGGUUCUCCCGAGCGCGCCAGUCUCCGGACAGGCGAGCGCCCGCCAGAGUCUAACCAAACUCUUGUUUUAAACCAGUCGUCUGAGUAUAAAAUUUUAAUUAAAUUAAAACUUUCAACAACGGAUCUCUUGGUUCUCGCAUUGAUGAAGAACGCAGC